GCCCCCCCCCCCUUCUUAGGUUUCUGCAAGAAGAACCCCCCCCCCCCCCACCAACUAACUGCCCAACUGAAACCUUUCGAUUUGAAAGGACCGCAGAUGCAGGCACUUCACUGAAAUAUAAAGAUCUCAAUUUAAGGUAUACAAGAAGGAAUGUCAUGCAGAUCACAUUUACCAUCCUCCUCCCUUACCUCUUCAAUGAAUAUCCCAUAGUCCUCUACAUUAUGGACAAGGAAACCUAUUCAAUCACCAUGCACUGCAAAAUCAUUCUGGCUAUGGAUACGGAGCACAUCAACAUGCCAGAGGAUAAACCCAUUGGACUUGGGGCUCUGCUGGGAGUUUACCUCAUAUUUAGAUUUUUUUUAUCCUGCUUUGCCACUAAAAAGCAUAAUAAACACAACUAAAAUUG
This is a long non-coding RNA of Oncorhynchus kisutch (coho salmon), 406 nucleotides long. RefSeq lists it as uncharacterized. The transcript has 3 exons. The record is from RefSeq and is a predicted model, not a curated record. NCBI's taxonomy places the organism in Eukaryota, Metazoa, Chordata, Actinopteri, Salmoniformes, Salmonidae.